GCUUUAAAUUUUCUAUUUUAAAACCAAAUUUACUUUUUUACCUUUGUUUAUAUUUGUAUUUAUCUUAAAAAUAUAAAUAAAAAUGCUAGGAAGAGAAAGUAAAUAAGCUCUAAAUUUAAUAAAUAAAAAUAAAAUUUUCAACUCGCAAUCCUCAGGAUUUAUAGGAGAAAAUUAAAUAAAUAAGACCUAAUUUUAUUAAGAACAGUAAAAAAUAGAAUAAAUUAAAGC
RNAcentral lists this ribosomal RNA (228 nucleotides) under Cyclocybe aegerita. Its description in RNAcentral is "partial small subunit ribosomal RNA". Lineage: Eukaryota; Fungi; Basidiomycota; Agaricomycetes; Agaricales; Hemipholiotaceae. The record is from RNAcentral.